RNAcentral lists this ribosomal RNA (468 nucleotides) under uncultured bacterium. RNAcentral's name for it is "partial 16S ribosomal RNA". It matches the Rfam family "Bacterial small subunit ribosomal RNA", at positions 28 to 507 of the family's 1533-position model. The record is from RNAcentral.
GACGAACGCUGGCGGCGUGCUUAACACAUGCAAGUCGAACGGAAAGGCCCUGCUUUUGUGGGGUGCUCGAGUGGCGAACGGGUGAGUAACACGUGAGUAACCUGCCCUUGACUUUGGGAUAACUUCAGGAAACUGGGGCUAAUACCGGAUAGGAGCUCCUGCUGCAUGGUGGGGGUUGGAAAGUUUCGGCGGUUGGGGAUGGACUCGCGGCUUAUCAGCUUGUUGGUGGGGUAGUGGCUUACCAAGGCUUUGACGGGUAGCCGGCCUGAGAGGGUGACCGGCCACAUUGGGAAUGAGAGACGGCCCAGACUCCUACGGGAGGCAGCAGUGGGGAAUAGUGCACAAUGGGCGGAAGCCUGAUGCAGCAACGCCGCGUGCGGGAUGACGGCCUUCGGGUUGUAAACCGCUUUCGCCUGUGACGAAGCGUGAGUGACGGUAAUGGGUAAAGAAGCACCGGCUAACUACGUG